RNAcentral lists this ribosomal RNA (301 nucleotides) under uncultured bacterium. RNAcentral describes it as "partial 16S ribosomal RNA". It matches the Rfam family "Bacterial small subunit ribosomal RNA", at positions 509 to 807 of the family's 1533-position model. The record is from RNAcentral.
CAGCAGCCGCGGGAAUACAGAGGCCUCAAGCGUUGUUCGGAUUCAUUGGGCGUAAAGGGUGCGUAGGUGGCUUGGUAAGUUGAAGGUGAAAUCUCGGGGCUUAACCCCGAAACUGCCUUCAAUACUGCUAGGCUCGAGGACUGUAGAGGAGAAUGGAAUUCACGGUGUAGCAGUGAAAUGCGUAGAUAUCGUGAGGAAGACCAGUGGCGAAGGCGAUUCUCUGGGCAGUUCCUGACACUGAGGCACGAAGGCCAGGGGAGCAAACGGGAUUAGAGACCCCUGUAGUCCCUGUCUCUUAUAC